GGGGGAGCCGAGAACCAUCUCCGGAAGCUAGCGCCUAGACCAAUCCACCUCGCUAGCUUCGGAGAGACAUGGCGCCCUGGGCCAUUGCCAUCCACGGCGGCGCCGGUGUGGACCCGAACCUGCCGGAGCACCGCCAGGAGGAGGCGAAGCGCGUGCUGGCGCGGUGCCUGCAGACCGGCGUGGACCUGCUGCGGGCGGGCGCCACCGCGCUCGACGUCGUCGAGGCCGUGGUGCGCGAGCUCGAGACCGACCCCUUCUUCAACUCUGGCCGCGGGUCCGCGCUCACCCGCCGCGGCACCGUCGAGAUGGAGGCAAGCAUCAUGGACGGCCGCGGCCGCCGCUGCGGCGCCGUCUCCGGCGUCUCCACCGUCAAGAACCCCGUCUCCCUGGCCCGCCGCGUCAUGGACAAGUCGCCCCACUCGUACCUCGCCUUCGACGGCGCCGAGGAGUUCGCCCGUGAGCAGGUACGGUGGCCGCCCGCCGCCCAACUAAUCUCCGGAUUAAUCUCCCGUGCUCGUUACUUUUUCCUGCAUGAAUCGUGCAUGGCUUCUCUACCAUGCGAAACCACCGCUACCGAUUAAAGAAAUAUAAUCAUGUUUAAUGAGAAAAUUAAGAAUUUUUUUACGAUCCGGCGUAAUGGCUGGACAGGAGAGAAUGAGAUUUUGUUAAAAAGUCAAUAAAAAAUAGACUUUUAGAUCGACACGUGUGGAUGACGUGGGUGCAGUACGACCGGCUGCAAACAUGCAUGUGUCCAGCUGCAAACGUUUCUACUGAACGGCGGCUGGGGCCGUGUCUUGCAAGGUGAAUCUUCGCUGGCCAUGCAAAGAUUCUAUUUCUACAAGGCAAACGUCUGGUCAUGUCUAGGAAAGUUGCAUCGUAGCUUUUUGGCGGUUUAUUGGUUAGGCGAAAUCACUUGAUUUGGAUUGUCUUUUUCUUUGCCACCUUAUUUGUUCUUGCAAGCAUGGUUUGAUUACCAUGACAUGGUCGACGCUUAUCUAGCUUUACGUGGUCUAAUGGAAAUGCUUAUAUAGGACAGAGGUCUGUUUGGGUCAACAAGGCACGCAGCCUGCUUUGCAUGUGUAGGCUGCAUGCCUCGUAGCAUAUGCUAUUUUGCGUCUGGAAAUUGUCAUGGAGUCUUCUAGUUUUUUUUCCCUGUACAAUUGAUGUUACUAGGUUUUAAAACACCAUUUACCACUUGGUUUUCCAAAUUGUUUUAGUUAGCACUUGUACCAACCAAUAUCUUUAGUCCUUUUGAUUCGAGUCCUGGCUUUUUGUUUGUGCGAUACACCAGCACGUGCGUGUCCCCCUUUCGUCCCCUGGUCUUCGGAGACAGCUGGGGACCAUAUACCACUUCUUUGCACAUCACUUGAAAGCAACUGCGGCGUAAUUUGUUCACCGUUGCCAAAGAAAUCCGUCAAAAUAAGUAGUUGGUCAUUUCUUUAUUAUGUUUGGUUUUAAGCACGAUUUUGUUCUGUUUUUGGAGUAUUGUAUUGCAUACGUAGGAUAUUCAUUUUUUUCAUUUUAGAUAGAAGUGAGUUUUUUUUUGCUAAUCAAUUGCGCACUUAGUCCUGGACAGUAGGAAAAGAGUUUAGAAGAAAACAUUCGUCUCGUCGCGUCAUGUACUUAGCCGCCUCGCACCCACCAACCCCUACCAUUUUCUUCCGCUUUUCCCCUACUCUACAAGAUUUGCAGGAAGCUUGGCUACGAUAUUUCCAUUACCAUUCCAACUUAAACUUGUCCUCCGGUACAAAACUAAGAACCACAACCCUCCAAAGCUUUUUAAAAUUUUAAGAGUCAGAAUUGUGCAGCACCCACCAACACCAGGGCACCGCACAACCAUACUCUGCUUGUCUCUUGCGGAAACAAUAUUUUUUUUUCUGCAUGCAUGUGAUUUCCUCGCGGGCCGCACAUUCUUUUUUCACCUAAACAACAAGCAAGUGCGCGCGGCUGACCUGCUGUUCCACAGCUGUGGGCGACUCGUCACACAGUUCAUGAACCUAGGAAUCUAGGAUGGCUCCCGUGCUCCACAGCCUCACGAGCCGUGGCCCUCUGUUUUUUCUGCUCGGAAAUCAUGUGCCUGGCGGCCGUUGUUGGUGUGGGGGCAGCCGCCGAGGCCGCGCACCACGAAAUCCAGGCGGGCUCCGGGACCAGCUAGCUCCACUUGCCCCUGUCCGGUCUCGCGCCCGAGUCUGUCGCCUCGCCGUGGUCCACCGGACCGGACCGUGCCCAGCAACGAGAUCCGAUUCGCGUCGAAUCCUCCAGAUCUUGUGGUCAUAGACUGUACCUAGAGCGGCGUUUUAUAAUACUAGCUACUGAAAUGUUUCAAGGAUUAGUCUAACAGCCUUUUUGAAAUCUUUAACCUGAUUUCUGAUGUUGAUUUGAUCAUCUUGUAGGGCCUUGAGACUGUGGACAAUAGCUACUUCAUCACCGAGGACAACGUCGGCAUGCUCAAGCUCGCCAAGGAGGCCGGCACCAUCCUGGUUCGUUCUACAGUCAUCUGAUCAAUCGGCAUCGAUCGUGCAUUCAAAUCAGCAGUGAACUGACCAUUGUUCAUCAUUUCCCGUGCAUGCAGUUUGACUAUCGGAUCCCGCUGACCGGGACGGACACCUGCAGCUUGCAGGCCGGUGCGGACAGCAACCACAACCGCAACGGCAUGGUGAUGAACGGGCUUCCCAUCAGCAUCUACGCCCCGGAGACGGUGGGGUGCGCGGUGGUGGACUCGAACGGCUUCUGCGCGGCGGCCACCUCCACGGGCGGGCUCAUGAACAAGAUGACGGGGCGCAUCGGGGACUCGCCGCUCAUCGGCUCGGGCACCUACGCCUGCGACGCCUGCGCGGUGUCGUGCACGGGGGAGGGAGAGGCCAUCAUCCGCUCCACGCUGGCGCGCGACGUCGCCGCCGUCAUGGAGUACAAGGGC
This 2917-nucleotide long non-coding RNA is filed under the name Setaria italica (foxtail millet). RNAcentral describes it as "long non-coding RNA (SITA_LNC005479)". The record is from RNAcentral. Lineage: Eukaryota; Viridiplantae; Streptophyta; Magnoliopsida; Poales; Poaceae.